Molecule: small nuclear RNA, 333 nt
Filed under: Nannospalax galili (Upper Galilee mountains blind mole rat)
Lineage: Eukaryota; Metazoa; Chordata; Mammalia; Rodentia; Spalacidae
Description: 7SK RNA (ENSNGAG00000005069.1)
Rfam family: 7SK RNA (bases 1-286)
About the family: 7SK was discovered as an abundant small nuclear RNA in the mid-70s but a possible function has only recently been suggested. Two independent studies have found that 7SK RNA binds the CDK9/cyclin T complex (known as elongation factor P-TEFb).
Source: RNAcentral
GGAAGUGAGGGUGAUCUGGCUUUGACAUUUGUCACCCCAUUGAUCACCAGGGUGGAUUCAGCUGAUCUGGCUGGCUAGGCGGGUGUCCCCUUCCUUCCUCAACACUCCAUGUGUAUGUCCUUCCCAAAGCUGCACGCUCCAUCGAAGAGGACGACCUUCCUUGAAAGGGGAGGACGGGUCAAGGGUAUACGAGUAGCUGCACUCCCCUGCUAGAACCUCCAAACAAGCUCUCAAAUAAGAAGUAAGAAUGUAGAUUAGUCAAGAUGUUUCAUUGUGAAAGAUGAAUAUGGAAUUGAGGGGAUGAGCUCCUAAGGCAGUAGUGUGUUUCAGUGU